CCUACGGGAGGCAGCAGUGGGGAAUUUUGGACAAUGGGCGAAAGCCUGAUCCAGCCAUGCCGCGUGCAGGAUGAAGGCCUUCGGGUUGUAAACUGCUUUUGUACGGAACGAAAAGGUCUUUUCUAAUAAAGAGGGCCCAUGACGGUACCGUAAGAAUAAGCACCGGCUAACUACGUGCCAGCAGCCGCGGUAAUACGUAGGGUGCAAGCGUUAAUCGGAAUUACUGGGCGUAAAGCGUGCGCAGGCGGUUAUAUAAGACAGUUGUGAAAUCCCCGGGCUCAACCUGGGAACUGCAUCUGUGACUGUAUAGCUAGAGUACGGUAGAGGGGGAUGGAAUUCCGCGUGUAGCAGUGAAAUGCGUAGAUAUGCGGAGGAACACCGAUGGCGAAGGCAAUCCCCUGGACCUGUACUGACGCUCAUGCACGAAAGCGUGGGGAGCAAACAGGAUUAGAUACCCUGGUAGUCCACGCCCUAAACGAUGUCAACUGGUUGUUGGGUCUUCACUGACUCAGUAACGAAGCUAACGCGUGAAGUUGACCGCCUGGGGAGUCGGCCGCAAGGUUGAAACUCAAANAGAGUUGNGNGNGAGAGNGCGAGACGACGACGAGGGAGGAGG
Molecule: ribosomal RNA, 616 nt
Filed under: uncultured bacterium
Lineage: Bacteria
Description: bacterial SSU rRNA
Rfam family: Bacterial small subunit ribosomal RNA
Source: RNAcentral